GUGCACCUCCGUGGCACGUAUACUAAAGUUGCAAUGAUACAGAGAAGAGUAGCAUGGGCCCUGGACAAAAAUGACCAAAAAUUUUAAAAAAUAAAUUAAAACAAGU
Molecule: small nuclear RNA, 106 nt
Organism: Pipistrellus kuhlii (Kuhl's pipistrelle)
Lineage: Eukaryota; Metazoa; Chordata; Mammalia; Chiroptera; Vespertilionidae
Source: RefSeq, a predicted model, not a curated record